GGCAGAUGUUGCUACUGGACUGACAAGUGGAACCUACUCCUGCUGGAGAAAGAAGUCACUGGUCCCAGAAGAAGAGGUAGCACAAGAAAAGGAAACCCAAGAAGCACCAGAGAGAAAGCAAACAACCAAGAAAGGCAAGAACACCUCACAUUGAGAAAAAGAAAGUCAGGCAGGAAAUUAUAUUUUUAAGUUAUUUGACCUGAUAUGUGCCAAAUGAGAACUUUU
This 225-nucleotide long non-coding RNA is filed under the name Homo sapiens (human). Its description in RNAcentral is "HSALNT0345370". Lineage: Eukaryota; Metazoa; Chordata; Mammalia; Primates; Hominidae. The record is from RNAcentral.